GACGAACCGUGCGAACGUUAUUCGGAAUCACUGGGCUUAAAGGGCGCGUAGGCGGGCGACCAAGUCAGGGGUGAAAUCGUUCGGCCCAACCGGACAAGGGCCCCUGAUACUGGUUGUCUCGAGGGAGGUAGGGGUCGAUGGAACUUCCGGUGGAGCGGUGAAAUGCGUAGAUAUCUGGAGGAACACCGGUGGCGAAGGCGGCAUCCUGGACUGUAACUGACACUGAGGAACGAAAGCCAGGGGAGCAAACGGG
RNAcentral lists this ribosomal RNA (253 nucleotides) under uncultured bacterium. RNAcentral describes it as "partial 16S ribosomal RNA". It matches the Rfam family "Bacterial small subunit ribosomal RNA", at positions 524 to 776 of the family's 1533-position model. The record is from RNAcentral.